GAUGAACGCUGGCGGCGUGUCUAAUACAUGCAAGUCGAGCGAACGGACGAGAAGCUUGCUUCUCUGAUGUUAGCGGCGGACGGGUGAGUAACACGUGGAUAACCUACCUAUAAGACUGGGAUAACUUCGGGAAACCGUAGCUAAUACCGGAUAAUAUUUUGAACCGCAUGGUUCAAAAGUGAAAGACGGUCUUGCUGUCACUUAUAGAUGGAUCCGCGCUGCAUUAGCUAGUUGGUAAGGUAACGGCUUACCAAGGCAACGAUGCGUAGCCGACCUGAGAGGGGGGUCGGCCGCACGGGAACGUGGACACGGUCCAUGCUCCUACGGGAGGCACCAGUAGGGAAUCGUCCGCAAUGGGCGAAAGCCUGACGGAGCAACGCCGCGUGAGUGAUGAAGGUCUUCGGAGCGUAAAACUCGGUUAUUAGGGAAGAACAGAUGUGUAAUGAACUGUGCACAUCUUGACGGUACCGAAUCAGAAAGCCACGGCUAACUACGUG
This 497-nucleotide ribosomal RNA is filed under the name uncultured bacterium. RNAcentral's name for it is "partial 16S ribosomal RNA". It matches the Rfam family "Bacterial small subunit ribosomal RNA", at positions 28 to 507 of the family's 1533-position model. The record is from RNAcentral.